This 742-nucleotide long non-coding RNA is filed under the name Betta splendens (Siamese fighting fish). Its description in RNAcentral is "lncRNA (ENSBSLG00000020268.1)". Lineage: Eukaryota; Metazoa; Chordata; Actinopteri; Anabantiformes; Osphronemidae. The record is from RNAcentral.
AUGAUCCCGAACCAAAACUGGACUUCCGCCAUUUCCCCCCUCUCACUCUCCGUGAACAGACCAACACGGCAGCGCCCAAGUCCUUCCAUAGAAAUAGUUCAGUUCUUAGGUGUUCUAACAACACCAAAGUCUAUUCACUUUAACAAGGGAUCAACAAGUGAGAAUUUGUGGGUCACUUUUAUUUUUAACGGACCGGUGCCAGAAACACUGCCUCAGCAUUUCAUACGUAUGUGCAUUUCAAACGAGGGUGCAUACAAUGCUGGAUUUGUUUCACGGCUCCUGUUGGAAAAAAAGGACAUAUUCCUAAAGUCCGUCAUCCACUCACUGAAGGAGCCACAUCCCAGUUACCUACAUGCAAGGAGGCUGUCAAACAGAGAAAUCACUGCAGACUGUUGGUACACGGACAUCUGCUGCCCAGCUCAGGAGUGAAGUACCUUUUGUUUUGAUGAGGUGAUGGUGAGGACAGCCACAGUUUCCAUCUGGUAGAGGACUGCUUCCGCUCAGUCUUCCAAAUAGUGAUGAGAACAAGGAUCACCACAUCUCCCUGUUUACCCUACUUUCAUGCAUUUCGUCUGCAAGGCCCUGCAAAAGCUUCUGGCCUCAAACCCCCAGACUUCUUAAUUAACUCAGUAACCUAUACAUUGCACAUUGGAGUGUGAAGGUAACAGUUUGUUCUAGCUUUGGAGUAGUGGUGUAUUUUUUUGGUUUACAAUAAAGUUGGCUUUAACUAUUAUGUAUUUCA